RNAcentral lists this non-coding RNA (145 nucleotides) under Canis lupus familiaris (dog). Lineage: Eukaryota; Metazoa; Chordata; Mammalia; Carnivora; Canidae. The record is from miRBase by way of RNAcentral. RNAcentral also lists the same sequence under 1 other name.
CCGCCUCCCGCUUCAGCCUCCCUGCACCCCGGGCACAGCUUGCUGAGCGUUGGCCGGUGGCCCUCCAGUCACCAGAGGCCACCAGAGGCCAGGCCUGGGCAGUGCUCCCAGGGGCUCCUGAUGUCCACAGCGGGAGGAGCCCCCC